GUGGUGCUACUGCCGCUGCUGACGCAGGGUGCAGUGGCGGCGGUGGCGCAGGCGGCGGCGGCGGGCGCUGUGGCUGCUGCCGCUGUUGCUGCUGGCUGGCAAUGAGGCGAUCUACCUCAGAGCCCUGGAGCAAGCAAGGGGCCAGGUGGGUGGGUGUGUAUGUGGUGAGAUACUUGGAUUUGGGGUGGGGGCAGAGCCGCUGGCUGUCCUGAGCGGCCCUCACUCCCAGCACACACACCCAGCACACACUCCCAGCACACAUUCCCAGCACACACUCCCAGCACACAUUCCCAGCGAACACGCACAUGCGCGCACUUCGUUCACUUUGUCUCCCACACGCGUGUGCGCUCGCCUCCCCCGCCCCUCACCGCCAUGUUCACGGGCAGUAUGACCGCCAGGCACCACACAGACAGGUACAGCGAUAUGUGCAGGCCUGGGGGGGGGGGGGGAGGGGAUGGGAGGGAGAUCAAUGGAAGCAGGGAAAGUCAGACAGCAGGGUGCAACAUCCGCGCCAACCAUACGGUCAGCUUUACCCAACCAACCCAACCAACCAUCCAACCAACUCAAUCCACUCAACCCACACACACACAUACCCACACGCACCCACCCAGCUUCAAUGCGUUGAGGUACUGCGCGCCGUCGCUGCCCGCCAGCUGCCGCACCCGCUCCGGCGGCAGUCGCCACAGCUGCCACAGCCACGCCCACCACCGCAGCCGCGGGGGGCGCGGCCGCAGCGGCGUGCCCGGACCGCCAUCGGCGCCGCCGCCGCCGCCGUAGGCCACCGCGGCAGAGGCGUACCUGGCGGCGGGGGCGUGUGUGUGUGUGUGUGUGUGUGUGUGUGUGUGUGUGUGUGUGUGUGUGUGUGUGUGUGUGUGUGUGUGUGUGUGUGUGUGUGUGUGUGUGUGUGUGUAUGUGUGUGUGUGUGUGUGUUACGCACCAAACACAAGUCCAAGUCCCCGUGGGCGUGGCGACAUUCCCACCACGAAAACCGUAACCGAAUGGCAUCAGCUUUCCCGUGCCUCCUCCCUCCACCCCCUCCCUUACCCCCGCCUUCUCUCCCGCUUCCCCCUUCUGCGCGCCCCCGCCUUAUCCAGGCCCUAUCAUCGGCAGCCCCUCCCCUCCGCGCAUGUCUUCAUUCCCUCGCCCGCCGCCCCCAGCCAGCCACCUCCGGGGUGCGUAGAAGCGGCGUGUGGGCCGCACCGCCCGCAGC
This 1210-nucleotide long non-coding RNA is filed under the name Chlamydomonas reinhardtii. RNAcentral's name for it is "long non-coding RNA (CREI_LNC001038)". The record is from RNAcentral. Lineage: Eukaryota; Viridiplantae; Chlorophyta; Chlorophyceae; Chlamydomonadales; Chlamydomonadaceae.